GACGAACGUUGGCGGCGUGCUUAAUACAUGCAAGUCCACUGAAGCAGUGGUAGCAAUAUCGCUGUGGAGGUGGCGCACGGGUGAGUAACACGUAGGUAAUCUGCCUUCAGGUCUGGCAUAACUCCGGGAAACCGGGGCUAAUAGCAGAUGAUGCAGCGGCUCGACAUCGAGACAGUUGUUAAAGCUAUGGCGCCUGAAGAUGAGCCUGCGUCUGAUUAGCUAGUUGGCGGGGUAACGGCCCACCAAGGCAACGAUCAGUAGCUGGUCUGAGAGGAUGAUCAGCCACACUGGAACUGAGACACGGUCCAGACUCCUACGGGAGGCAGCAGUAAGGAAUAUUGCUCAAUGGGAGAAAUCCUGAAGCAGCAACGCCGCGUGAGGGACGAAGGGCUUUUGCUUGUAAACCUCUGUAGUGAGAGAAAAAAAUCCCAAUCUUUGGGACAGGAUGGGAUCUCAAAAGUAAGCCCCGGCUAACUACGU
Molecule: ribosomal RNA, 480 nt
Filed under: uncultured bacterium
Lineage: Bacteria
Description: partial 16S ribosomal RNA
Rfam family: Bacterial small subunit ribosomal RNA
Source: RNAcentral